UAAUGUAUGGGGAUCUGCCCGAUAGAGGGGAAUAACUACUGGAAACGGUGGCUAAUACCGCAUAAUGUCUACGGACCAAAGCAGGGGCUCUUCGGACCUUGCACUAUCGGAUGAACCCAUAUGGGAUUAGCUAGUAGGUGGGGUAAAGGCUCACCUAGGCGACGAUCUCUAGCUGGUCUGAGAGGAUGAUCAGCCACACUGGGACUGAGACACGGCCAG
RNAcentral lists this ribosomal RNA (219 nucleotides) under uncultured bacterium. RNAcentral's name for it is "partial 16S ribosomal RNA". It matches the Rfam family "Bacterial small subunit ribosomal RNA", at positions 111 to 334 of the family's 1533-position model. The record is from RNAcentral.